Molecule: ribosomal RNA, 491 nt
Filed under: uncultured bacterium
Lineage: Bacteria
Description: partial 16S ribosomal RNA
Rfam family: Bacterial small subunit ribosomal RNA
Source: RNAcentral
AGUGAACGCUGGCGGUAGGCCUAACACAUGCAAGUCGAACGGCAGCACAGUAAGAGCUUGCUCUUACGGGUGGCGAGUGGCGGACGGGUGAGGAAUACAUCGGAAUCUACUUUUUCGUGGGGGAUAACGUAGGGAAACUUACGCUAAUACCGCAUACGACCUACGGGUGAAAGCAGGGGAUCUUCGGACCUUGCGCGAUUGAAUGAGCCGAUGUCGGAUUAGCUAGUUGGCGGGGUAAAGGCCCACCAAGGCGACGAUCCGUAGCUGGUCUGAGAGGAUGAUCAGCCACACUGGAACUGAGCCACGGUCCAGACUCCUACGGGAGGCAGCAGUGGGGAAUAUUGGACAAUGGGCGCAAGCCUGAUCCAGCCAUACCGCGUGGGUGAAGAAGGCCUUCGGGUUGUAAGGCCCUUUUGUUGGGAAAGAAAAGCAGCAGGUUAAUACCCCGCUGUCCUGACGGUACCCAAAGAAUAAGCACCGGCUAACUUCGU